GCGGAGGUGGGGAUUUGUACUUGUACACUGGAGGUGGUGGGGAGUAAACCGGAGGUGGUGGAGACUUGUAUUUGUAAACCGGUGGUGGUGGGCUGUAAACCGGAGGUGGGGGAGAUUUGUACUUGUAAACCGGUGGUGGUGGGCUGUAAACCGGAGGUGGGGGAGAUUUGUACUUGUAAACCGGUGGUGGUGGGCUGUAAACCGGAGGUGGUGGAGAUUUGUACUUGUACACUGGAGGUGGUGGGGAGUAAACCGGAGGUGGCGGAGACUUGUAUUUGUAAACUGGUGGAGGUGGGCUGUAAACCGGAGGUGGUGGGGAUUUGUACUUGUACACUGGUGGUGGUGGGCUGUAGACCGGUGGUGGUGGAGACUUGUAUUUGUACACUGGUGGUGGUGGGCUGUAGACCGGUGGUGGUGGAGACUUGUAUUUGUAAACCGGUGGUGGUGGGCUGUAAACCGGUGGAGGUGGAGAUUUGUACUUGUACACUGGAGGAGGAGGCGAGUACACGGGCGGUGGUGGGGAUUUGUAUUUGUAGACGGGCGGAGGUGGCGAGUACACCGGCGGUGGCGGGGAUUUGUAUUUGUACACCGGCGGCGGCGGCGAGUAGACGGGCGGGGGCGGGGACUUGUAUUUGUACACCGGUGGAG
RNAcentral lists this long non-coding RNA (648 nucleotides) under Selaginella moellendorffii. RNAcentral describes it as "long non-coding RNA (SMOE_LNC000559)". Lineage: Eukaryota; Viridiplantae; Streptophyta; Lycopodiopsida; Selaginellales; Selaginellaceae. The record is from RNAcentral.